RNAcentral lists this ribosomal RNA (250 nucleotides) under uncultured bacterium. RNAcentral describes it as "partial 16S ribosomal RNA". It matches the Rfam family "Bacterial small subunit ribosomal RNA", at positions 30 to 284 of the family's 1533-position model. The record is from RNAcentral.
AUUGAACGCUGGCGGCAUGCCUUACACAUGCAAGUCGAACGGUAGAAGGGGCAACCCUUCGAGAGUGGCGAACGGGUGAGUAAUGCAUCGGAACGUGCCCAGUCGUGGGGGAUAGCCCGGGGAAACCCGGAUUAAUACCGCAUACGACCUGAGGGUGAAAGCGGGGGACCGUAAGGCCUCGCGCGAUUGGAGCGGCCGAUGUCGGAUUAGGUAGUUGGUGGGGUAAAGGCCUACCAAGCCUGCGAUCCGU